This 72-nucleotide transfer RNA is filed under the name Candidatus Woesebacteria bacterium. RNAcentral's name for it is "tRNA-Lys". It matches the Rfam family "tRNA". Rfam says of the family: Transfer RNA (tRNA) molecules are approximately 80 nucleotides in length. Lineage: Bacteria; Candidatus Woeseibacteriota. The record is from RNAcentral.
GAGCUCGUAGCUCAGCGGCAGAGCAACAGCCUUUUAAGCUGAUGGUCGUGGGUUCGAUCCCCACCGGGCUCA